RNAcentral lists this ribosomal RNA (397 nucleotides) under uncultured organism. RNAcentral's name for it is "bacterial SSU rRNA". It matches the Rfam family "Bacterial small subunit ribosomal RNA", at positions 45 to 433 of the family's 1533-position model. The record is from RNAcentral.
CGCCUAACACAUGCAAGUCGAGCGCGAAGGUAGCAAUACUGGAAAGCGGCGCACGGGUGCGUAACACGUAGAUAAUCUGCCCUUCGUUGGGGGAUAACGUUCCGAAAGGAGCGCUAAUACCGCAUACAGCAUUCUGGGGUUCGCCUUGGGAUGGCAAAGGCCGGGAUCGCAAGACCGGUCGACGAAGGAGGAGUCUGCGGCCCAUCAGCUAGUUGGCGAGGUAAUGGCUCACCAAGGCAAAGACGGGUAGCUGGUCUGAGAGGAUGAUCAGCCACACUGGUACUGGAACACGGACCAGACUCCUACGGGAGGCAGCAGUGGGGAAUCUUGGUCAAUGGGCGCAAGCCUGAACCAGCCAUUCCGCGUGCAGGAUGAAGGCCCUCGGGUUGUAAACUGC